UGGCAGCAUAUUUAUUGAAGAAAGAGGUAGAAAAAAUAAGACUCUAAGUCUUAUUUAGACUCUAAGUCCACAUUGUUUGAGGUAAUAAAUAACUUUAGACUCUAUGAUAAAGUCUGCAUUGUGAGUGCCCUAACAAUACUAAGGUUCACCAAAAGUCUAAAACCCAAAAGAACCAAAAGGGAAGAACCUGUUCUUUGUUAUUCUGAUUUUGUUCCUCCGACGGUUCCGAUACUCGAUAAUCAACGAGCACAACUCAAUAAGACACGAACAACACUUGUCCAAAAAAAAAAACAAGACACGUAAAUAGCGACCACAUAGUGGUCGGCUCGGCAUGCCGAGUUUGCCG
RNAcentral lists this long non-coding RNA (346 nucleotides) under Sorghum bicolor (sorghum). Its description in RNAcentral is "long non-coding RNA (SBIC_LNC005737)". The record is from RNAcentral. Lineage: Eukaryota; Viridiplantae; Streptophyta; Magnoliopsida; Poales; Poaceae.